Molecule: transfer RNA, 76 nt
Filed under: Beta vulgaris subsp. vulgaris (sugar beet)
Lineage: Eukaryota; Viridiplantae; Streptophyta; Magnoliopsida; Caryophyllales; Amaranthaceae
Rfam family: tRNA
About the family: Transfer RNA (tRNA) molecules are approximately 80 nucleotides in length. Their secondary structure includes four short double-helical elements and three loops (D, anti-codon, and T loops).
Source: Rfam by way of RNAcentral
AGGGAUGUAGCGCAGCUUGGUAGCGCGCGUUUGUUUUGGGUACAAAAUGUUACGUGUUCAAGUCAUGUCAUCCCCC